Molecule: long non-coding RNA, 344 nt
Organism: Melopsittacus undulatus (budgerigar)
Lineage: Eukaryota; Metazoa; Chordata; Aves; Psittaciformes; Psittaculidae
Exons: 3
Source: RefSeq, a predicted model, not a curated record
GUUUUUCAUUUGGUUUGCUGCAAGCUGUGGAAUUCAUAAUGUUGGCUGUUGAAUGUGCUCCCACACCACCAAUGUUGAUAUGCUUUGGCUCCAACAUGCAAGGUCCACUGCAUAGACGUUUCUCAGGGCAGAAGUGAGGGAACAGCAUGCUGAAGAUGGAGGAGGGGAACACAUGGCUGUGGAAGGGUGGCAGAGGGAGCAAUCCUGACUUAAGAUACUUUUAGGACCUAACCUCUCUGCUUAUGGAGUUAGAAGUGGGACCUACAUUAGGCCAGGUAGGAAAGUGGCAGAGGAAAUCACAUAUGGAGCUGACUGGAGGAAUGUGUGUAGAACCAGAAGACUAG